GGGGUUGUGGCUCAGUGGUGGAGCGCUUGCCUAGCAUGCAUGAGGCACUGGGUUUGAUCCUCAAUACCA
RNAcentral lists this transfer RNA (69 nucleotides) under Marmota marmota marmota (Alpine marmot). It matches the Rfam family "tRNA". Rfam says of the family: Transfer RNA (tRNA) molecules are approximately 80 nucleotides in length. Their secondary structure includes four short double-helical elements and three loops (D, anti-codon, and T loops). Further hydrogen bonds mediate the characteristic L-shaped molecular structure. tRNAs have two regions of fundamental functional importance: the anti-codon, which is responsible for specific mRNA codon recognition, and the 3' end, to which the tRNAs corresponding amino acid is attached (by aminoacyl-tRNA synthetases). tRNAs cope with the degeneracy of the genetic code in two manners: having more than one tRNA (with a specific anti-codon) for a particular amino acid; and 'wobble' base-pairing, i.e. permitting non-standard base-pairing at the 3rd anti-codon position. Lineage: Eukaryota; Metazoa; Chordata; Mammalia; Rodentia; Sciuridae. The record is from Rfam by way of RNAcentral. RNAcentral also lists the same sequence under 1 other name.